This 484-nucleotide ribosomal RNA is filed under the name uncultured bacterium. RNAcentral describes it as "partial 16S ribosomal RNA". It matches the Rfam family "Bacterial small subunit ribosomal RNA", at positions 28 to 507 of the family's 1533-position model. The record is from RNAcentral.
AUUGAACGCUGGCGCCAUGCUUUACACAUGCAAGUCGAACGGCAGCGCGGGCUUCGGCCUGGCGGCGAGUGGCGAACGGGUGAGUAAUGCAUCGGAACGUGCCCAGUAGUGGGGGAUAGCCCGGCGAAAGCCGGAUUAAUACCGCAUACGACCUGAGGGUGAAAGCGGGGGACCGAAAGGCCUCGCGCUAUUGGAGCGGCCGAUGUCGGAUUAGCUAGUUGGUGGGGUAAAGGCUUACCAAGGCGACGAUCCGUAGCUGGUCUGAGAGGACGACCAGCCACACUGGGACUGAGACACGGCCCAGACUCCUACGGGAGGCAGCAGUGGGGAAUUUUGGACAAUGGGGGCAACCCUGAUCCAGCCAUGCCGCGUGCGGGAAGAAGGCCUUCGGGUUGUAAACCGCUUUUGUUCGGGAAGAAAUCCUCUGGGCUAAUACCCCGGGGGGAUGACGGUACCGGAAGAAUAAGCACCGGCUAACUACGUG